This 85-nucleotide transfer RNA is filed under the name Candidatus Ichthyocystis hellenicum. RNAcentral describes it as "bacterium 2013Arg42i tRNA-Leu(gag)". It matches the Rfam family "tRNA". From Rfam's summary of the family: Transfer RNA (tRNA) molecules are approximately 80 nucleotides in length. Their secondary structure includes four short double-helical elements and three loops (D, anti-codon, and T loops). Lineage: Bacteria; Pseudomonadati; Pseudomonadota; Betaproteobacteria; Burkholderiales. The record is from RNAcentral.
GCCGACGUGGUGAAAUUGGUAGACACGCCAUCUUGAGGGGGUGGUGGAGAGAUCCUUAUGAGUUCGACUCUCAUCGUCGGCACCA